This 617-nucleotide long non-coding RNA is filed under the name Sinocyclocheilus grahami. RNAcentral describes it as "lncRNA (ENSSGRG00000023157.1)". Lineage: Eukaryota; Metazoa; Chordata; Actinopteri; Cypriniformes; Cyprinidae. The record is from RNAcentral.
UGCUAUCGGAGGAUCUCUCAGAGGAACACAAUGUGAAGGUUGAGCUCUCUGGCGCAGCAAGGAGACUGAAAGUGGUCAAAUUGUCAUCAGGUUUGAGGGGGGAAAACAAUUUAUAAAAAGGCGAGUGCUGUUUAAUACGUAAAGGACCUUUUGCUUUAUAUGGUAAUGAAUUUCAAAUGUCUUCCUCACUUCAGGAGCAAGAAGCUGCGGUGAGGGCCUUACAGCUGUUUCGUGGAGAUAAUUGAUUUUGGAAUAGGCUGACGAGAGCGCGGGCAGGCAGGGUUGACGGUGCUCUACAGCGGGGUCCAAGCCAAUUUCCGCAGGCCUCGUCCCUUUAAUUACAGCGGCGCUGGAGCGCGGGACACGGCAGCGCUCUUCCCUGGGCAAAUUAAACCCCCUCACCAGUCUUGCCUCUGCCCUUCCCCCGCCAUGCAGAGGCCUGAUGAAUUUUUCAUGGCUCUACCUCUCUCUUCGGGCCUAUCGUUAUGGCUGCCUGCAGGGCUGACAGUGCUGCUUCCUCUGUCCUCCCAGAGUGGCAAGGAAAGAGUUGUCACAGCACAGGAAAGCGUUGUCUGCAGAUGUUUCUAGAAUGUCUGAUUGACUGGAAGCUCGGUGAA